This 436-nucleotide ribosomal RNA is filed under the name uncultured bacterium. Its description in RNAcentral is "partial 16S ribosomal RNA". It matches the Rfam family "Bacterial small subunit ribosomal RNA", at positions 338 to 791 of the family's 1533-position model. The record is from RNAcentral.
CCUACGGGUGGCAGCAGUGGGGAAUAUUGCACAAUGGGGGAAACCCUGAUGCAGCGACGCCGCGUGAGUGAAGAAGUAUUUCGGUACGUAAAGCUCUAUCAGCAGGGAAGAAAAUGACGGUACCUGACUAAGAAGCCCCGGCUAACUACGUGCCAGCAGCCGCGGUAAUACGUAGGGGGCAAGCGUUAUCCGGAUUUACUGGGUGUAAAGGGAGCGUAGACGGCAGCGCAAGUCUGGAGUGAAAUCCCAUGGCUUAACCAUGGAACUGCUUUGGAAACUGUGCAGCUAGAGUGCAGGAGAGGUAAGCGGAAUUCCUAGUGUAGCGGUGAAAUGCGUAGAUAUUAGGAGGAACACCAGUGGCGAAGGCGGCUUACUGGACUGUAACUGACGUUGAGGCUCGAAAGCGUGGGGAGCAAACAGGAUUAGAUACCCCAUC